Molecule: non-coding RNA, 47 nt
Filed under: Trypanosoma brucei brucei
Lineage: Eukaryota; Euglenozoa; Kinetoplastea; Trypanosomatida; Trypanosomatidae
Source: RNAcentral
AACAUCCAAUAGAUAAAUGUGCGAGAGAUCUGUAUAAUGUAAAUAUU